CAUUUUAUGUGGUAUUAAUGAACUGCAAAGGAAUAUGAUUUAUCUUAUUUUAUAUUUUUGCACCUUUGGAAUUCGUUUUCUGAUAGUGGAAUAAGUUUGUGUUUACUUUGAGAAAAUUAGAGUGUUCAAAGCAGUCUUACGGCUUAAUAUUAAAGCAUGGAAUGAUAAAUAAUGACAUCGGUUAAUUUUUGUUGGUUUGAGAGGCUGAUGUAAUGAUUUAUAGAGUUAGUCGGAGGUAUUAGUAUUUUGUCGUUAGAAGUGAAAUUCCGGGAUCGACAAAAGACUAACAACUGCGAAAGUAUUUGCCUAGAAUUUGCUCCUUGAUCAAGAACGUAAGUUGGGGGAUCGAAGACGAUCAGAUACCGUCGUAGUCUCAACUUUAAACUAUAUCAGCUAGGGGUUGGCAAAUGUUUAUAUGACUUUGUUAGAACCUUAUGAGAAAUCAAAGCGUUUGGGUUC
RNAcentral lists this ribosomal RNA (459 nucleotides) under Procyttarium primordialis. Its description in RNAcentral is "SSU rRNA". It matches the Rfam family "Eukaryotic small subunit ribosomal RNA", at positions 650 to 1114 of the family's 1831-position model. Lineage: Eukaryota; Polycystinea; Collodaria; Collophidiidae. The record is from RNAcentral.